UAAGUAGGCGGUGGAAAAUCAACCAAAUGGGAUUCCUUAAGUAAUUGCGAAUGAACAAGGAAAUGCUCAGCUUGAAAAAUGGGGCCUUUGGCUUUGAGUUGUAAUUUUGAAAUGUAUUGCCAAUAGAGGUGCAAGUGCAAGCCUAUUGAAAGAAAGCGUCAAUGAGGGUGAGAUUCCUUUUUGUCAUUUGCAAUCCUCCAUGCACGGUAUAUGCUUGACGAGUCACACUCCUCGGCAUUGGAAUGCAAAAUGGGUGGUAAAUUCCAUGUAAAGGUAAAUAUAUUAUUGAGAUUGAUAGCAAACAAGUACCAUGAGGGAAAUAUGAAAAGGACUUUGAAAAGAGAAUUAAAAGAGUCUGCAUUUGCUGAACAACAAGCAAACAGAAUUUGUUUAAUUGGUGAGAUUGUUGUUUCCUCUUGAAACAAUGUAUGUUAAAGAGAGGUGCAAUGGUUCUUUCCUUGAAUGUCACUUUCUAUUUCGGCAAAUCAUUAUCCUUGUACAUGAAUGGUAAUUUGCUUGCGGGCAUUGGGAUAUGUGUACUUGCGAUGAUUUGUGAUUUGAUACACGUGUCUGGUGACUUGUGUUGGGGCUCUCUUUGUCGACAGAAAUUUUCUGCUCUGAACGCAACAAGCCUUUACACAGUGUUGGUGGCAAAAUGUUUCUGCUUGACCCGUCUUGAAACACGGACCAAGGAGUCUAACAGAUGUGCAGGUCUGGAAAUGUUAAAUUGUUUUGAGCAAUGAAAGUAUUUGCUGGGAUAUUUGCACCAGCAACCGAUUGAUUAACAGACAGAGGUUUGAGUUUGAGCAUAUCUAUUAGGACCCGAAAGAUGGUGAACUAUGCCUGAACAGAAUGAAUUCAGAGGAAACUCUGAUGGAGGUUCGUAUCGAUA
This 892-nucleotide ribosomal RNA is filed under the name Alexandrium sp. 2 TN-2020. Its description in RNAcentral is "partial 28S ribosomal RNA". It matches the Rfam family "Eukaryotic large subunit ribosomal RNA", at positions 43 to 885 of the family's 3401-position model. The record is from RNAcentral. Lineage: Eukaryota; Dinophyceae; Gonyaulacales; Pyrocystaceae.